RNAcentral lists this ribosomal RNA (244 nucleotides) under uncultured Gardnerella sp. RNAcentral describes it as "partial 16S ribosomal RNA". It matches the Rfam family "Bacterial small subunit ribosomal RNA", at positions 111 to 354 of the family's 1533-position model. The record is from RNAcentral. Lineage: Bacteria; Bacillati; Actinomycetota; Actinomycetes; Bifidobacteriales; Bifidobacteriaceae.
UAAUGCGUGACCAACCUGCCCCAUGCUCCAGAAUAGCUCUUGGAAACGGGUGGUAAUGCUGGAUGCUCCAACUUGACGCAUGUCUUGUUGGGAAAGUGUUUAGUGGCAUGGGAUGGGGUCGCGUCCUAUCAGCUUGUAGGCGGGGUAAUGGCCCACCUAGGCUUCGACGGGUAGCCGGCCUGAGAGGGCGGACGGCCACAUUGGGACUGAGAUACGGCCCAGACUCCUACGGGAGGCAGCAGAG